AUGUAUUUGCCCUUCCCAGCUCUCUUCCUGGUCUCCAAAGAGGAAGCCUUAGGUUGGUGCUUGCCAGCCCCGGUUAAUCUCUACCCUGAACCCAAGAGAAAACAGGCUUUACAAGGCGCUCUGUCUCCAUCAGGGGCUGGAUCGGUUGUUCGUGUUUCUAUCAACCAGGGACCCAGCUUCUAUCCACUCACGCUUCUGCCUGACCCAGGCAUCCUCCUCUCUCCCNNNNNNNNNNNNNNNNNNNNNNNUGCCGCGAUGCCUGGUUUCCUGGUUUUCUCCGGGGCCUUCUACUCCCUCUGGCACCCACAGUCUUGAGAUAGAGGACACUUCCUUUGGACUCACCUGCACUGGCCAUGUGACGGAAACAGACCUCUCCAAAUAAAGACCCAAGCCUCACCCCCAGCCAGGGGUCUCACAGCAGAGCCAGAAAAAGGGAGGAGCCACCAGCUCACCCGCCCCCGUGCAACUCCUGUGCCCACACUCUCCUCCCUCUUGGGUCAGGCCUGCCUGAGAAGCCACAGGCUGGCCACUCUUGUUCCCAAAAUAGGCCUCCCAGCUAGGGGAGCAGAGAGGCCUGGAGGGAGGACUGGGGAACGCUCACCCCAUUCACGCUGUCCCUGCUGACAGAAGACCCCCAAAUGUCCAGCUGUGCACCCUGGGAGCUAAG
RNAcentral lists this long non-coding RNA (667 nucleotides) under Cricetulus griseus (Chinese hamster). RNAcentral's name for it is "lncRNA (ENSCGRG00000025003.1)". Lineage: Eukaryota; Metazoa; Chordata; Mammalia; Rodentia; Cricetidae. The record is from RNAcentral.